AAAUGCGAUACGUAGUGUGCAUUGCAGAAUUCAGUGAAUCAUCGAAUCUUUGAACGCACAUUGCGCCCUUUGGUAUUCCAAAGGGCAUGCCUGUUCGAGCGUCAUUUGUACCCUCAAGCUUUGCUUGGUGUUGGGCGUUUUUUGUCUUUGGCUCGCCCAAAGACUCGCCUUAAAACGAUUGGCAGCCGGCCUACUGGUUUCGCAGCGCAGCACAUUUUUGCGCUUGCAAUCAGCAAAAGAGGACGGCAAUCCAUCAAGACUCCUUCUCACGUUUGACCUCGGAUCAGGUAGGGAUACCCGCUGAACUUAAGC
This 312-nucleotide unclassified non-coding RNA is filed under the name plant metagenome. RNAcentral describes it as "partial contains 5.8S ribosomal RNA, internal transcribed spacer 2, and large subunit ribosomal RNA". The stretch from base 1 to 104 matches the Rfam family "5.8S ribosomal RNA", at positions 51 to 154 of the family's 154-position model. The record is from RNAcentral.